This is a long non-coding RNA of Tympanuchus pallidicinctus (lesser prairie-chicken), 502 nucleotides long. RefSeq lists it as uncharacterized. The transcript has 5 exons. The record is from RefSeq and is a predicted model, not a curated record. Lineage: Eukaryota; Metazoa; Chordata; Aves; Galliformes; Phasianidae.
CAAGUUUCUGUUCAGACCCAAAAUAAUAACAAGGUCUGACAGUUUUUGCCAGGAUUUUUCUGCCCAGCAACUGCAUUCACAUUGGAAAAAUGGAGCAACUUAAGUAAAUAAGUCUGGAACUCAGAGGGCUUCUUGAAGCUUGCUCGUGUCCAUCUCCCAGACUCUUGCUGCUGAGUCACAUGGAUUUCCUACAAGGGCAGAAGAGCAGAGCUGCACUGCUUUACUAUGCCAACUCCUAUAGCUCUCCUAUUGCAAUCAGCCUUCCCAGCAUAAAGUCAACGUUACUAGAAAAGGCAAAAGGAGAUCCUACCAGAAAUAAUUUCUACACAGAGACAUUACUACUCAAAGGAUUAAAAAACUGCUGCUACAACUUCUGCUUAGCCGAGAACACUCCUCUUAUUCAGGAAGAGCUUGUGUGUGGAUGCAGGUAAGAAAUAAAGCCAAUGAGGAACCUGAAGGUGGGGAUUUCUUGGCUGCUUGAACACAGUUGUAUGGUUUCAUG